GUCUAUGGCCAUGCCACCCUGAAUGUGCCCGUUCUCGUCUGAUCUCGGAAGCUAAGCAGGGUCGGGCCUGGUUAAUACUUGGAUAAUAAUUCCUAGGUUAAUACCUAGGAAUACCAGGUGCUGUAGGCA
This 129-nucleotide ribosomal RNA is filed under the name Pteropus vampyrus (large flying fox). Lineage: Eukaryota; Metazoa; Chordata; Mammalia; Chiroptera; Pteropodidae. The record is from RNAcentral.